GACGAACGCUGGCGGCGUGCCUAAUACAUGCAAGUCGAACGCAGUGGGGACGGGUGAGUAACACGGGGGUAACCUCCCAUCAGAGGGGAGGACACAUGGAAACAGGUGCUAAACCGAUACUGAUGGAUGGACCCGCGGUGCAUUAGCUAGUUGGUGAGGUAACGGCUGACCAAGGCCACGAUGCAUAGCCGGCCUGGUAGGGUGUUCGGCCACACUGGGACUGAGACACGGCCCAGCAUCCUCCGGAAGGCAGCAGUAGGGAAUCUUCGGCAAUUGACGAAAGUCUGACCGAGCAACGCCGCGUGAGUGAAGAAGGUUUUCGGAUCGUAAAACUCUGUUGUUUGAGAAGCGGUAUCUAACCAGAAAGCCACGGCUAACUACGUGCCAGCAGCCGCGGUAAUAC
This 403-nucleotide ribosomal RNA is filed under the name uncultured bacterium. RNAcentral's name for it is "partial 16S ribosomal RNA". It matches the Rfam family "Bacterial small subunit ribosomal RNA", at positions 28 to 526 of the family's 1533-position model. The record is from RNAcentral.